GAUGAACGCUGGCGGCGUGCUUAACACAUGCCAGUCGAACGGUAACGGCGGAGCUUGCUCUGCUGGAUCAGUGGCGAACGGGUGAGUAACACGUGAGCAAUCUGCCCCUGACUCUGGGAUAAGCGCUGGAAACGGCGUCUAAUACUGGAUACGAGCUGCGAAGGCAUCUUCAGCAGCUGGAAAGAACUUCGGUCAGGGAUGAGCUCGCGGCCUAUCAGCUUGUUGGUGAGGUAACGGCUGACCAAGGCAUCGACGGGUAGCCGGCCUGAGAGGGUGACCGGCCCCACUGGGACUGAGACACGGACCAGAGGGCAACGGGAGGCAACAGGGGGGAAUAUUGCACAAUGGGGCAAAGCCUGGUGCGACAACGCCGGGGUAGGGAAGACGGCCUUCGGGGUGUGAAACGCUUUUAGCAAGGAAGAAGGGAAAAUGACGGUACCUGAAGAAAAAGCGCCGGCUAACUACGUG
RNAcentral lists this ribosomal RNA (468 nucleotides) under uncultured bacterium. RNAcentral describes it as "partial 16S ribosomal RNA". It matches the Rfam family "Bacterial small subunit ribosomal RNA", at positions 28 to 507 of the family's 1533-position model. The record is from RNAcentral.